Molecule: long non-coding RNA, 1862 nt
Organism: Dicentrarchus labrax (European seabass)
Lineage: Eukaryota; Metazoa; Chordata; Actinopteri; Moronidae
Exons: 7
Source: RefSeq, a predicted model, not a curated record
CAGCGAACAGACUCUCUUCCUGACUUCGCUCCGGUCGGCGAACUGACGCGACGACGCGUCCGCGGCGGCUGACACUACUGACAGUAUCAACCUGAGCGGAAAGUUCGCUCUCAUUCCGGAUACAUGAACCUGAUUCAUGAAGACGUUUUCAAGGAGGAGAGGAAAGAGAAAAUAAGUGAGUUAUAAGGAGGACCGCUGUUGGCACGCUCUGUGGGAACUAUGGAAGAGUCUUCAGUGGUUCAGUGUUUGUAGGAGUACUUAUGGAUGAGGAGGAGGGCCGUGACCUCUUCCGCCCCCCAGAAAACCCAACUUGUCCGCCGGUGGUCCCAACUCGCGUCCUGUAGCUCGCUGGAGGAGGCAGGAGAAGAUCAGCCAAGAAUCGGUAGACAUAGUCCACACCGUUGUUCACUUCUUGGCUCUUGACUCUGCAAGGAGGACUGCUGUUGACACUAAUGUGGGAAUAUGGAAGAGUCUUCAGAUUUGCAGUGUCAGUGGAGGACAUCUUUGAAGAAGGAACAUCUCCUCUGGCAGACGUCCUCAGCAGUGGACUGAAAGUCCGUCAGAGAAGAGCUCCGAGUGCGGAUGGUCCGGUGGAGCAGCGGCAUCGAAAGCGCUUCCGAAAGCACCUGCUACCAUGUAGCAGUAAGUUCGAUUCCCGUGAGACCCCGUCACCUGGAACGCGAUUCCCACGGAAGUGGAUGAGGAGGAGGGCCGUGACCUCCUCCGCCCCCCAGAGACCUGUAAGCAGAGGGUUAUGGAAGAAGAAACUCCACCCAGCUGGAGUUUUACAGACUGUGGGGGUUGAGCAUUGAGCUUCUUGUUGCAGCUGCACGCCGCCUACAGGUGGACAAUAUUUUAAUAAUCCUACUUGAUUUCUACUUAUUUAUUACUACUAAUCCUACUUACUGAUUACUGAUUGGCUGCUUGAUACACGAUCAAUGACUCUACUUAUUUCGGAUACAUUGUCAGUUAUGUGAUGUUGUUAUUAAGUUCAGUCUACUUUGUAUCACUUGUAUUUACUGUGUGUGUUCAAUGGUUUUGGAGCGUGUCAUGGGAAUCAGGGACUAACUAUUGGGUUUGUGGGUUUGGGUUUGGGUUUCCCAACAGGGACUUGAACUCCCAGAUCCAGGUCCCGGUUACAGACCUGUCAGCGUCUUAUCUCACUGAGCUAUAAUUGAAGUUGAACCUGUGCAUGUUGUUGUAAUUCUUGUAUUUCACAUUGAAGGAGAAAACAUUGAAAAUGGUCAGAACACAGUCAGGUUUUGAACCCUCAAUCUGAGUGUGGAGAACCAACAGUGACAACCAUUUACUCAUUGAGCUAUAUAUUGGGACAAUAGAGUAUAAGUUGUUGUUGCUUUUCUUUACAUUUUUGAAGAGAAAACUCAGAAAAGGGUUAUCAGAGGAUAAAUUGGAUUUGAUCCCUCCACUUUUGAUUUUCAGGUAGCAGCACCUUAUCUCAGGGAGCUACACCUGAGGGUUACAAUCAGUGGUUCGUUGUUAUAUCUAUUGUUCAUGUUGCUGAAUAAAAAAGACAAAAAUCUCAAGUGAGUGUAGAUUUGAACCUUGCAACUCAGAUUUCAACAUGAGCUGCUUAUCUCACUGAGCUAUUUCUGCAGUUGGAUUUUUCUUUUUAAAGCCCUAAUAUCUGUGACGUCCAUGAAUGCGUUGUUGGCAUCCUUUGCCUUGAUGCCAGCACCUCAGGACACCGCAGCAAAGAAGAUGCAAGGAGAGGGCAGGGGCUUGUUCCUCCAAAGCAGCACUGUUGUACCUGAGCUCCAUUAUAGUUCAUAUAACCCCCAGGGUUGUCUGUCCAGUGUAAAACCUAAAUUAAAUGUAGUUAAAGUAAAUGAAAGAAUUAAAAA